RNAcentral lists this ribosomal RNA (230 nucleotides) under uncultured bacterium. RNAcentral describes it as "partial 16S ribosomal RNA". It matches the Rfam family "Bacterial small subunit ribosomal RNA", at positions 562 to 791 of the family's 1533-position model. The record is from RNAcentral.
AAAGCGUGCGCAGGCGGUUAUACAAGACAGAGGUGAAAUCCCCGGGCUCAACCUGGGAACUGCCUUUGUGACUGUAUGGCUAGAGUGUGUCAGAGGGGGGUAGAAUUCCACGUGUAGCAGUGAAAUGCGUAGAUAUGUGGAGGAAUACCGAUGGCGAAGGCAGCCCCCUGGGAUAACACUGACGCUCAUGCACGAAAGCGUGGGGAGCAAACAGGAUUAGAUACCCUUGU